Molecule: ribosomal RNA, 511 nt
Filed under: uncultured bacterium
Lineage: Bacteria
Description: partial 16S ribosomal RNA
Rfam family: Bacterial small subunit ribosomal RNA
Source: RNAcentral
UGGGGAAUAUUGGACAAUGGGGGCAACCCUGAUCCAGCAAUGCCGCGUGUGUGAAGAAGGUCUUCGGAUUGUAAAGCACUUUCGACGGGGACGAUGAUGACGGUACCCGUAGAAGAAGCCCCGGCUAACUUCGUGCCAGCAGCCGCGGUAAUACGAAGGGGGCUAGCGUUGCUCGGAAUGACUGGGCGUAAAGGGCGUGUAGGCGGUUUACACAGUCAGAUGUGAAAUCCCCGGGCUUAACCUGGGAGCUGCAUUUGAUACGUGUAGACUAGAGUGUGAGAGAGGGUUGUGGAAUUCCCAGUGUAGAGGUGAAAUUCGUAGAUAUUGGGAAGAACACCGGUGGCGAAGGCGGCAACCUGGCUCAUGACUGACGCUGAGGCGCGAAAGCGUGGGGAGCAAACAGGAUUAGAUACCCUGGUAGUCCACNCUGUAAACGAUGUGUGCUAGAUGUUGGGUAACUUUGUUAUUCAGUGUCGCAGUUAACGCGUUAAAGCACACCGCCUGGGGAGUA